CUUGUAGAGGGGGGUAGAAUUCCAGGUGUAGCGGUGAAAUGCGUAGAGAUCUGGAGGAAUACCGGUGGCGAAGGCGGCCCCCUGGACAAAGACUGACGCUCAGGUGCGAAAGAGUGGGGAGCAAACAGGAUUAGAUACCCUGGUAGUCCACGCCGUAAACGAUGUCUACUUGGAGGUUGUGCCCUUUAGGCGUGGCUUCCGUAGCUAACGCGUUAAGUAGACCGCCUCGGGAGUAAUGCCGCAAGUUUAAAAAACAAAAGAAUAGACGAGCGCCCUCAAAAGCGGUGGAGCAAGUGGUUUAAUUCGAUGCAAAGCUAAUAACCUUACCUGGACUUGACAUCCACGGAAUUUUUAAGAGAUGAGAAUGUGCCAUCGGGAACCGUGAGACAGGUGCAGCAUGGCUGUCGUCAGCUCGUGUUGUGAAAAGUUGGGUUAAGUCCCGCAACGA
RNAcentral lists this ribosomal RNA (448 nucleotides) under Salmonella enterica subsp. enterica serovar Oslo. RNAcentral's name for it is "bacterial SSU rRNA". It matches the Rfam family "Bacterial small subunit ribosomal RNA", at positions 648 to 1095 of the family's 1533-position model. The record is from RNAcentral. Lineage: Bacteria; Pseudomonadati; Pseudomonadota; Gammaproteobacteria; Enterobacterales; Enterobacteriaceae.